UAGUCCAUGCUGUAAACGAUGAUUACUAGGUGUGGGGCCGUGCCGGAGUUAACACAAUAAGUAAUCCACUGGGGAGUACGACCGCAAGGUUGAAACUCAAAGGAAUUGACGGGGGCCCGCACAAGCAGUGGAGUAUGUGGUUUAAUUCGAAGCAACGCGAAGAACCUUACCAGGUCUUGACAUCCAGGUGGUGCAUGGUUGUCGUCAGCUCGUGUCGUGAGAUGUUGGGUUAAUCCCGCAACGAGCGCAACCCUUAUCAUUAGUUACGACUCUAAUGAGACUGCCGUUGAGAAAACGGAGGAAGGUGGGGAUGACGUCAUCACAUGCCCCUUAUGACCUGGGCUACACACGUACUACAAUGGCUGUCACAAAGUGAACCAAAUACGCGAGUAAGAGGGAAACACAAAAAACAGUCACAGUUCGGAUUGUAGGCUGCAACUCGCCUACAUGAAGCCGGAAUUGCUAGUAAUCGCGGAUCAGCAUGCCGCGGUGAAUACGUUCCCGGGCCUUGUACACACCGCCCGUCACACCAUGAGAGCGGGGGACCCGAAGUCCAGGCCGAAGGUAAAACUGGUGAUUGGGGUGAAGUCGUAACAAGGUAACCGA
RNAcentral lists this ribosomal RNA (606 nucleotides) under uncultured bacterium. Its description in RNAcentral is "bacterial SSU rRNA". It matches the Rfam family "Bacterial small subunit ribosomal RNA", at positions 791 to 1503 of the family's 1533-position model. The record is from RNAcentral.